CCCUAUUUGCUGAAUUGCAUACGACAAUCCUUGCUAUUGAGAUAGCUCAUCACAAAGGUUGGAAGAACCUUUGGCUGGAAUGUGACUCAACAUUGGUGGUUAGUAUUUUCAAAGGGUCAAUCAAUCCUCCUUGGCAAUUACAUAACAGAUUUGUUAGAUGCAAGCUUCUCUUGGGUAAUAUGAAUUUCAGCAUCUCUCACAUAUUCA
RNAcentral lists this long non-coding RNA (207 nucleotides) under Lupinus angustifolius (narrow-leaved blue lupine). Its description in RNAcentral is "long non-coding RNA (LANG_LNC003562)". Lineage: Eukaryota; Viridiplantae; Streptophyta; Magnoliopsida; Fabales; Fabaceae. The record is from RNAcentral.